UUCCGGUUGAUCCUGCCAAAGGUUACUGCUAUCGGGGUUCGACUAAGCCAUGCGAGUCAAAUGUUCUUCGUGAACAUGGCGAACUGCUCAGUAACACGUGGACAACUUACCCUUAGGACUGGAAUAACCCCGGGAAACUGGGGAUAAUACCGGAUAAAUCAUAGAUGCUGGAAUGCUCUAUGGUUGAAAGCUCCGGCGCCUAAGGAUAGGUCUGCGGUCUAUCAGGUAGUAGUGGGUGUAACGUACCUACUACCGACGACGGAUACGGGUUGUGAGAGCAAGAGCCCGGAGAUGGAUUCUGAGACACGAAUCCAGGCCCUACGGGGUGCAGCAGGCGCGAACACUUUACAAUGCGGGAAACCGCGAUAAGGGAACCCCGAGUGCCAGCAUCAAAUGUUGGCUGUCCAGAUGAUUAAAACUCAUUUGUUAGCAAGGGCCGGGCAAGACCGGUGCCAGCCGCCGCGGUAACACCGGCGGCCCGAGUGGUAACCGUUUUUAUUGGGUCUAAAGGGUCCGUAGCCGGCCUGAAAAGUCCUUUGGGAAAUCUGACAGCUUAACUGUCAGGCUUCUAAGGGAUACUGUCAGGCUUGGGACCGGGAAGAGGUAAGGGGUACUCCAAGGGUAGGAGUGAAAUCUUGUAAUCCUUGGGGGACCAUCUGUGGCGAAGGCGCCUUACCAGAACGGGUCCGACGGUGAGGGACGAAAGCUAGGGGAGCAAACCGGAUUAGAUAACCCCGGGUAGUCCUAGCCGUAAACGAUGCUCGCUAAGGUGUCUGGCACGGUGCGUCCGUGUCCGGUGCCGCAGGGAAGCCGUUAAGCGAGCCACCUGGGAAGUACGGUCGCAAGGCUGAAACUUAAAGGAAUUGGCGGG
RNAcentral lists this ribosomal RNA (871 nucleotides) under uncultured archaeon. RNAcentral's name for it is "bacterial SSU rRNA". It matches the Rfam family "Archaeal small subunit ribosomal RNA", at positions 1 to 872 of the family's 1478-position model. The record is from RNAcentral.